RNAcentral lists this ribosomal RNA (279 nucleotides) under uncultured bacterium. RNAcentral's name for it is "partial 16S ribosomal RNA". It matches the Rfam family "Bacterial small subunit ribosomal RNA", at positions 506 to 784 of the family's 1533-position model. The record is from RNAcentral.
UGCCAGCAGCCGGGAUAAUACGGAGGGGGUUAGCGUUGUUCGGAAUUACUGGGCGUAAAGCGCACGUAGGCGGAUUAGAAAGUAGGGGGUGAAAUCCCAGGGCUCAACCCUGGAACUGCCUCCUAAACUCCUGGUCUUGAGUUCGAGAGAGGUGAGUGGAAUUGCGAGUGUAGAGGUGAAAUUCGUAGAUAUUCGCAGGAACACCAGUGGCGAAGGCGGCUCACUGGCUCGAUACUGACGCUGAGGUACGAAAGUGUGGGGAGCAAACAGGAUUAGAUA